Long non-coding RNA from Solanum pennellii, 331 nucleotides. RefSeq lists it as uncharacterized. NCBI's taxonomy places the organism in Eukaryota, Viridiplantae, Streptophyta, Magnoliopsida, Solanales, Solanaceae. The transcript has 3 exons. The record is from RefSeq and is a predicted model, not a curated record.
UUGUUUUUAAUUUUUUAGGAUCUGGGUUGUUGAAUAUAAUGUCUAAACGAAAUACCACAAGGAUAAUCACAAGAGGAUAUACUGCUGCGAUGGAAUUACAUAAGAAGUCGAAAGAUGAAAUAGUAAGGUCUCCUUCAAAAAGAAAAGUAGGGUCAACGGUGAAAGCGAUUGAAAAAAAAUUGUUACAAGAGGAGGAAAGUAAAAAAUGUAGUUUCCGACAUGAUUGGAGAACAUGCAGUUAAUGAAGAACAAGACGAAGUCAGUGAAGAAUUAAAGGGUAUCAGAUUCCAUGUAUUGGCUCGCCCAAUUAAACCCCCACGCAUGCAGGUUU